Plutella xylostella (diamondback moth) is the source of this 1245-nucleotide long non-coding RNA. RefSeq lists it as uncharacterized. The record is from RefSeq and is a predicted model, not a curated record. Lineage: Eukaryota; Metazoa; Arthropoda; Insecta; Lepidoptera; Plutellidae.
AUGUGCUAUCUUCUAUAAUGUUAAAUCUUUUUAAAUGCGAUGGUGCUUUUGUGUGACCAAAUCUCAGUCUAUUCAUUGUUGUGAUAAAAUCUCGACUGGCUAUUUUCAAAUCAUUAUACCAGGGCUUAGAAGGAGAAUCUGAGACAAAUUGGGACUUCUGUUCCAUAACAAAUCAUCACCUGAGGUCAUAGGUGUUUGAUGGACAAUUGAAUUAGAUCUGAGAUAAGGGAGACGAAACUGUCAGCACAACUUCUGCCUUUUCUGAAGCCAUAUUGAACAUUGGGAAUCAAGCCAUUUGACUCAACAAACCAAUCAAGACGUGUUUUAAUCAUAUUUUCAAAUAUUUUACCUAAACAUGAAGAGAGAGAAAUGGGUCUAUAUGAAUUUGGAUCUUCUGGAGGCUUAUAUUGUUUUAAAACAGGAAUAACACAUUGAGUCUUCCAAGAUUGUGGGAUUAUUUGAUUCACCCAAAGACUAUUAAGUAUAUUUAAAAAUAAUUUCUGCACUGAAGUAUCUAAUUUUUUUAUAAGAAUAUAAGGAAAAUCAUCUAAUCCAGGUGAUGUAUUCUUUCGCGAGUUCAAACUGUUUUCAAAUUCGUGGAAAGUAAAUUUUUGUAUAAGAAAACUUGAUUUAAUGUCUGAAUUAUGAAGAUCAAAAUAGGUAUUUAAUUCAUGAAUGUGUAAGCCGGUUUCUGUUAACUUAUCAAAAAAUCCAUCAAUGAAUUUGUCUGAAUAAGAUUUAUUGGAAGCUUUUCUAUGUUUAAACAUUUUAAUGUAAUUCCAUAUUUUACUUAUCGGUGUAGUUCUAUUAAAACUGUUACAUAGUCUACUCCAUCCAUUUUUCUUUUCUUCUGAUAUUGUUCUUUUUUUAAUAGCAUUUAAUCUUUGAUAUUUUACAAAAUUUUCUAUUGUAGGAUUACUUCUAUAAUACUUUAAAGCUUCAUAAGAGUCUGUAACACUUUUUUCACAUCUAUCGUUCCACCAAGGAGCUGGUAGUUUACUUUUGUAUGAGCUAGGUUUUGUAAAUUUCCUAACGCAUUCUUCUUUAAGAGAGUUUAACUUGUUACAAAAAUAUUCAUAAGUUUCUAAAGGAUUAUCACUAUUAAUGGUAAAAUUUGUAAAAAAGGACUUAGAAAGUUCGUAGUAUUUUUGCCAGUUUGCUUUACUGUACAUAAAUUUAUCUAUUGGAGGAUUUAUUUGAUAUCUAUCAAUUGAAAGUGCAAUAGUAAUGAUCACAGGAAAGUGG